CCUACGGGUGGCUGCAGUCAAGAAUAUUCCUCAAUGGACGAAAGUCUGAAGGAGCGACACCGCGUGUAGGAUGAAGGUUUUCGGACUGUAAACUACUUUUAUAUGGGAAGAAUUCGUGACGGUACCAUAUGAAUAAGAGGUUGCUAACUCUGUGCCAGCAGCAGCGGUAAUACAGAGACCUCAAGCGUUAUCCGGAUUUAUUGGGCGUAAAGCGUCCGCAGGUGGUUCUAUAAGUCAGGGGUUAAAACUCAGUGCUCAACACUGAGACUGCCUUUGAUACUGUAGAACUAGAGAACGGAAGAGGUAAGCGGAAUUCUCGGUGUAGUCGUAAUAAGCGUUGAUAUCGAGAAGAACACCAAAUGCGAAGGCAGCUUACUGGUACGUUUCUGACACUCAUGGACUAAAGCGUGGGGAGCAAACAGGAUUAGAUACCCCUGUAGUC
Molecule: ribosomal RNA, 442 nt
Filed under: uncultured bacterium
Lineage: Bacteria
Description: bacterial SSU rRNA
Rfam family: Bacterial small subunit ribosomal RNA
Source: RNAcentral